This 466-nucleotide ribosomal RNA is filed under the name uncultured bacterium. Its description in RNAcentral is "partial 16S ribosomal RNA". It matches the Rfam family "Bacterial small subunit ribosomal RNA", at positions 28 to 507 of the family's 1533-position model. The record is from RNAcentral.
GACGAACGCUGGCGGCGUGCUUAACACAUGCAAGUCGAACGGAAAGGCCCUGCUUGCAGGGUACUCGAGUGGCGAACGGGUGAGUAACACGUGGGUGAUCUGCCCUGCACUUCGGGAUAAGCUUGGGAAACUGGGUCUAAUACCGGAUAGGACCAAUCUUUGGUUGGGGGGUUGGAAGGUUUUUUGGGGGUAGGAUGAGCUCGCGGCCUAUCAGCUUGUUGGUGGGGUAAUGGCCUACCAAGGCGGCGAGGGGUAGCCGGCCUGAGAGGGUGUACGGCCACAUUGGGACUGAGAUACGGCCCAGACUCCUACGGGAGGCAGCAAUGGGGAAUAUUGCACAAUGGGCGCAAGCCUGAUGCAGCGACGCCGCGUGGGGGAUGAAGGCCUUCGGGUUGUAAACUCCUUUCGCUAGGGACGAAGCUUUUUUGUGACGGUACCUAGAUAAGAAGCACCGGCUAACUACGUG